RNAcentral lists this ribosomal RNA (258 nucleotides) under uncultured Glomus. RNAcentral describes it as "partial 18S ribosomal RNA". It matches the Rfam family "Eukaryotic small subunit ribosomal RNA", at positions 624 to 886 of the family's 1831-position model. Lineage: Eukaryota; Fungi; Glomeromycota; Glomeromycetes; Glomerales; Glomeraceae. The record is from RNAcentral.
AAGCUCGUAGUUGAAUUUCGGGGUUAGUAGGUUGGCCAUGCCUCUGGUAUGUACUGGUCUCACUGAUUCCUCCUUCCUUAUGAACCGUAAUGCCAUUAAUUUGGUGUUGCGGGGAAUUUGGACUGUUACUUUGAAAAAAUUAGAGUGUUUAAAGCAAGCUAACGCUUGAAUACAUUAGCAUGGAAUAAUGAAAUAGGACGUUCGAUCUUAUUUUGUUGGUUUCUAGGAUUGACGUAAUGAUUAAUAGGGAUAGUUGGG